GACGAACGCUGGCGGCGUGCCUAAUACAUGCAAGUCGAGCGAAGUUUUUCUGGUUCUUUCACUUUAAAAACUUAGCGUCGUACGUUUUAGUCACACGUAAAGAACCUUCCUCUUAGACUUGUACUACUAUUGGUUACUAUAUCUAAUACCGUAUAACAGUAUUUCUCUCUUGUUUGUUAUUUAAAAGUUUUUUUUUCUAACACUUUGAUAUUUCUUUGCGUUUCAUUAGCUAGUUGGUUGGGUAAAGGCCCACCAAGGCGACGAUGCAUAGCCGACCGGAGAGGGUGAUCGGCCACACGGGAAGUGAGACACGGACAAGACUACUACGGGAGGCAGCAGAAGGGAAUAUUCCGCAAUGGGCGAAAGCAUGACGGAGCAACGCCGCGUGAGAGAAGAAGGAUUUCGGUUCGUAAAGAUCUGUUGUUAGGGAAGAAAGGAUAUGUAUUAACAAUAAAUGUAAGAGACGGUACCUAAACAGAAAGCAACGGCUAACUACGUG
This 499-nucleotide ribosomal RNA is filed under the name uncultured bacterium. RNAcentral describes it as "partial 16S ribosomal RNA". It matches the Rfam family "Bacterial small subunit ribosomal RNA", at positions 28 to 507 of the family's 1533-position model. The record is from RNAcentral.